RNAcentral lists this ribosomal RNA (489 nucleotides) under uncultured bacterium. RNAcentral's name for it is "partial 16S ribosomal RNA". It matches the Rfam family "Bacterial small subunit ribosomal RNA", at positions 29 to 507 of the family's 1533-position model. The record is from RNAcentral.
AUGAACGCUAGCUACAGGCUUAACACAUGCCAGUCGCGGGGCAGCAUGGGGGUUGCUUGCACUCCCCGAUGGCGACCGGCGCACGGGUGAGUAACGCGUAUCCAACCUGCCCUUCACCACGGGAUAACCCGGCGAAAGUCGGACUAAUACCGUAUGUUGUCCAUUGACGGCAUCCGAUUUGGACGAAAGGCUUGGCGGUGAGGGAUGGGGAUGCGUCCGAUUAGCCAGACGGCGGGGUAACGGCCCACCGUGGCUACGAUCGGUAGGGGUUCUGAGAGGAAGGUCCCCCACACUGGAACUGAGACACGGUCCAGACUCCUACGGGAGGCAGCAGUGAGGAAUAUUGGUCAAUGGGCGUAAGCCUGAACCAGCCAAGUAGCGUGCAGGAGGACGGCCCUAUGGGUUGUAAACUGCUUUUAUGCGGGGAUAAAGUGGCCCACGUGUGGGCUUUUGCAGGUACCGCAUGAAUAAGAACCGGCUAAUUCCGUG